CAGCAGAGAAACAGCUUCAUCGUCCUCCUCACUCUCUCUCACCUUGCGAACUCAACCUUAGCUAGCAAUGGUAAUCUCACGCACUCGAAACUCAUCCUUCUUAUGACAUCAACAAAACCCUCUCACGCUCUCAACGAACCCCUCUCAAUCACUCUCAGCUCUCACAAUAUUUCCAACAGCAAGCACAUGAGAAAGAUAAAAAAGAAAGAAAAAGAAGUACUCACAAAGCGUCACGGCGGCGAUGGUGAAGGACGCGAAGAAGCUGGCCUCCAGGGUUUCCAAUGGGGUCUUUGCUGUUCAAAAGGAGUGUUUCUGCAAAGCACUUUGGAUGCUCAGACACAUAAUCACCCUAUCCAUGUUAGAUUCAAGAAAAGUGAAAAUUGGUUACAAGGAGGUUGUGGAUGUUGGUAACAUAUUGUAGUGACAACUUGUGUUUUGUCAUGACUUUAACUUGUUUGUGCAUGAACUGCUGCCAGGGUCUUGAAUGGAACAUACACAUCUCUGUCAUGGUCUGCUUCAUGAAGUAGCAGGAUAUGGUCUUGAUUUGGACUUGUCGAUGCAGAUUGUUGGUUGUUGCUAUAGCAGUUGAUGGUUGAUGCAGGUUCAAUGACUGGGCUGGUUCAACAUAUCUGCUUCUGCCUUCAUUGGGACUUAAUGCAGGAUGGUAUUUUUGCUUCCUGAUUGUACAUCCUUGGAUCCUUCAGGAAGGCCCAUCUUCUCUACCAAAACCUUCAAAGCUGCUUCAGUAGGCAUUCCAUGGGCAACAAACUUAUGCUCUGACUGUGACACUCCGGCAUCAUUACAAACAGCAGCAAUUUUCGCUAUCAUCUGAAGAUUAGCAUCCAAUCGACCAGCUGGCAAAAUUCUCUAUUUGACCAUCAGAUGGAUUAUACGUAGUUCCUUCCACCUUAGAGGCGCGCAGGGUAUCUACAUUAGGGCCACUAGCUACUAGUUUUGAAACAGCCAUCCGGUUUGUUGUCAAUGUACCAGUUUUUAUCAGAGCAAAUCACAGUUGUACAACCCAGAGUUUCGACACUAGGUAGUUUCCGAACCAGGGCAUUCUUCUGGGUCAUUUUGCAAGUACCAAGUGCAAGGCAAGUCGUGAUGACAGCGGGCAAUCCCUCCGGAAUAGCAGCCACAGCCAAUGCCACAGCAAUCUCAAAGUAAUACGUACACUUCUCAAAUGAAAACUUGAAGUUCCACUUUGAGCAAUAGUUCCAAGACAGUCAACUAGUUCUUGCUUAGUCAUACCAAUGCCUGUAUCAGUGAUAGUGAUGAUCCCCAUUAUCCUUAUCAGCUUGAAUUCGGAUAUCAAAAUCAAUUGCAUCCUUCAUCAGGUCAAGCUCUGUAACACUAAAAAAUCGCAGCUUAUCCAAGGCAUCACUUGCAUUACUGAUAAGUUCCCUGAGAAACACUUCCUUGUUACUGUAUAAACUGUUAACAAUAAGGUCCAUGAGCCGACUAAACUCUGCUUGGUAUUCAAAUUUUUCAGCUGGUGGGGAACUUGAUGCAAAUUGUUGGCAAUGCUGCAGGAUCGGUGCCGACUACAACGCUCAAUUGCGUACCGGUUUGAGGCAGCUCACGUCAUAACAAAUGGUUCGGUGGUUCCCUGCGGAGUAGCUCUUGGUUGCAUCCACCUUGGAGGAAAGUCUGAGCAAAGUGCAUCCACCACCAACUACAAUACCCUCUUCAACAGCUGCCUUUGUAGCAUUAAAAGCGUCUUCAACUCUCAAUUUCUUUUCCUAGAGUUUUGUCUCAGUUUGUGCACCAACCUGUAUGACAGCCAUGCCACUAGACAGUUUUGCAAUAACAACAUCAGGAUCACUUUGAAAUGAGACAGCAGCUUCGAACUUUCUUCUUCGGAUAUUCCUAACUCUUUUUUUUUUACAGGAGCAAUUGAGCCAUCGGAGUUCUUUAAGGGCAAAGGGAUAUCCAUAGUAACCAAUUUUCCAGAUUUAUGAGAAGCGAUACAGUUACUUCCCAAAUAGAAUCAUAACUGAUGGACCUUUAGCAUGUCCCUUUAAAACCUCAUUUCAAUCACACAAUUUAAGGGAAAUAAAGAGGAUCGUUUUGCUUCCCAUGUUGGGUAUGUUCAAAGCUGCAUUUUCACUGACCGUGUUAUGAUUGAAUAACCGCAACGAACGUUGUUGUUCCAUGUAGCAGUGCAGUAGCAGUACAUGAGUUUUUCGCCUUCUUGGUCAGUUUAGAGUGAAUUACCAAUUGUCAAAGCUAGUUAACAUGGAAGGUUAUAACAAUUGGAUACUUUUGGUUACAGAGUUCACUCUUAAAUCUUUGCAGUCAUGGCAGUGGGCUAGCAACAGUGUAUACUACCU
This is a long non-coding RNA of Lathyrus oleraceus (garden pea), 2333 nucleotides long. RefSeq lists it as uncharacterized. NCBI's taxonomy places the organism in Eukaryota, Viridiplantae, Streptophyta, Magnoliopsida, Fabales, Fabaceae. The transcript has 5 exons. The record is from RefSeq and is a predicted model, not a curated record.